UGGGGAAUAUUGCACAAUGGAGGGAACUCUGAUGCAGCGACGCCGCGUGAACGAAGAAGGCUUUCGAGUCGUAAAGUUCUUUUAUAUGGGAAGAUAAUGACGGUACCAUAAGAAAAAGCCCCGGCUAACUACUUGCCAGCAGCCGCGGUAAUACGUAGGGGGCUAGCGUUGUCCGGAAUCACUGGGCGUAAAGGGUUCGCAGGCGGAAAUGCAAGUCAGGUGUAAAAGGCAGUAGCUUAACUACUGUAAGCAUUUGAAACUGCAUAUCUUGAGAAGAGUAGAGGUAAGUGGAAUUUUUAGUGUAGCGGUGAAAUGCGUAGAUAUUAAAAAGAAUACCGGUGGCGAAGGCGACUUACUGGGCUCAUUCUGACGCUGAGGAACGAAAGCGUGGGUAGCAAACAGG
This 403-nucleotide ribosomal RNA is filed under the name Fusobacteriota bacterium. RNAcentral describes it as "Fusobacteria bacterium partial 16S ribosomal RNA". It matches the Rfam family "Bacterial small subunit ribosomal RNA", at positions 355 to 776 of the family's 1533-position model. The record is from RNAcentral. Lineage: Bacteria; Fusobacteriati; Fusobacteriota.